RNAcentral lists this ribosomal RNA (497 nucleotides) under uncultured bacterium. RNAcentral describes it as "partial 16S ribosomal RNA". It matches the Rfam family "Bacterial small subunit ribosomal RNA", at positions 28 to 507 of the family's 1533-position model. The record is from RNAcentral.
GACGAACGCUGGCGGCGUGCCUAAUACAUGCAAGUAGAACGCUGAAGAGAGGAGCUUGCUCUUCUUGGAUGAGUUGCGAACGGGUGAGUAACGCGUAGGUAACCUGCCCUGUAGCGGGGGAUAACUAUUGGAAACGAUAGCUAAUACCGCAUAACAAUGGAUGACACAUGUCAUUUAUUUGAAAGGGGCAAUUGCUCCACUACAAGAUGGACCUGCGUUGUAUUAGCUAGUAGGUGAGGUAAUGGCUCACCUAGGCGACGAUACAUAGCCGACCUGAGAGGGUGAUCGGCCACACUGGGACUGAGACACGGCCCAGACUCCUACGGGAGGCAGCAGUAGGGAAUCUUCGGCAAUGGGGGCAACCCUGACCGAGCAACGCCGCGUGAGUGAAGAAGGGUUUCGGAUCGUAAAGCUCUGUUGUAAGUCAAGAACGGGUGUGAGAGUGGAAAGUUCACACUGUGACGGUAGCUUACCAGAAAGGGACGGCUAACUACGUG